GCCGCUAUGGGGAAAUUGGUAGAC
RNAcentral lists this transfer RNA (24 nucleotides) under Mertensia ciliata x Mertensia perplexa. Its description in RNAcentral is "partial tRNA-Leu". The record is from RNAcentral. RNAcentral also lists the same sequence under 1 other name. Lineage: Eukaryota; Viridiplantae; Streptophyta; Magnoliopsida; Boraginales; Boraginaceae.